CAUUCAUGGAGAGUUUGAUCCUGGCUCAGGACGAACGCUGGCGGCGUGCUUAACACAUGCAAGUCGAACGAUGAAGCCCUUCGGGGUGGAUUAGUGGCGAACGGGUGAGUAACACGUGGGCAAUCUGCCCUUCACUCUGGGACAAGCCCUGGAAACGGGGUCUAAUACCGGAUACGACUGCGGGAGGCAUCUCCUGUGGUGGAAAGCUCCGGCGGUGAAGGAUGAGCCCGCGGCCUAUCAGCUUGUUGGUGGGGUAAUGGCCCACCAAGGCGACGACGGGUAGCCGGCCUGAGAGGGCGACCGGCCACACUGGGACUGAGACACGGCCCAGACUCCUACGGGAGGCAGCAGUGGGGAAU
Molecule: ribosomal RNA, 359 nt
Filed under: Streptomyces sp. RSD-27
Lineage: Bacteria; Bacillati; Actinomycetota; Actinomycetes; Kitasatosporales; Streptomycetaceae
Description: bacterial SSU rRNA
Rfam family: Bacterial small subunit ribosomal RNA
Source: RNAcentral